This 253-nucleotide ribosomal RNA is filed under the name uncultured bacterium. RNAcentral's name for it is "partial 16S ribosomal RNA". It matches the Rfam family "Bacterial small subunit ribosomal RNA", at positions 524 to 776 of the family's 1533-position model. The record is from RNAcentral.
UACGUAGGGGGCAAGCGUUGUCCGGAUUUAUUGGGCGUAAAGAGCGUGUAGGCGGCCAGAUAGGUCCGUUGUGAAAACUCGAGGCUCAACCUCGAGACGCCGAUGGAAACCAUUUGGCUAGAGUCCGGAAGAGGAGAGUGGAAUUCCUGGUGUAGCGGUGAAAUGCGCAGAUAUCAGGAGGAACACCGGUGGCGAAGGCGGGUCUCUGGGCAGUAACUGACGCUGAGGAGCGAAAGCGUGGGGAGCGAACAGG